GAUGAACGCUGGCGGCGUGCCUAAUACAUGCAAGUCGAGCGAACGGACGAGAAGCUUGCUUCUCUGAUGUUAGCGGCGGACGGGUGAGUAACACGUGGAUAACCUACCUAUAAGACUGGGAUAACUUCGGGAAACCGGAGCUAAUACCGGAUAAUAUUUUGAACCGCAUGGUUCAAAAGUGAAAGACGGUCUUGCUGUCACUUAUAGAUGGAUCCGCGCUGCAUUAGCUAGUUGGUAAGGUAACGGCUUACCAAGGCAACGAUGAAUAGCCGAUCUGAGAGGGUGAUCGGCCACACUGGAACUGAGACACGGUCCAGACUCCUACGGGAGGCAGCAGUAGGGAAUCUUCCGCAAUGGGCGAAAGCCUGACGCAGCAACGCCGCGUGAGUGAUGAAGGUCUUCGGAUCGUAAACCUCUGUUAUUAGGGAAGAACAGAUGUGUAAGUAACUGUGCACAUCUUGACGGUACCUAAUCAGAAAGCCACGGCUAACUACGUG
Molecule: ribosomal RNA, 497 nt
Filed under: uncultured bacterium
Lineage: Bacteria
Description: partial 16S ribosomal RNA
Rfam family: Bacterial small subunit ribosomal RNA
Source: RNAcentral